GAUGAGUAGGGCGGGACACGUGGUAUCCUGUCUGAAUAUGGGGGGACCAUCCUCCAAGGCUAAAUACUCCUGACUGACCGAUAGUGAACCAGUACCGUGAGGGAAAGGCGAAAAGAACCCCGGCGAGGGGAGUGAAAAAGAACCUGAAACCGUGUACGUACAAGCAGUGGGAGCACGCUUAGGCGUGUGACUGCGUACCUUUUGUAUAAUGGGUCAGCGACUUAUAUUCUGUAGCAAGGUUAACCGAAUAGGGGAGCCGAAGGGAAACCGAGUCUUAACUGGGCGUUAAGUUGCAGGGUAUAGACCCGAAACCCGGUGAUCUAGCCAUGGGCAGGUUGAAGGUUGGGUAACACUAACUGGAGGACCGAACCGACUAAUGUUGAAAAAUUAGCGGAUGACUUGUGGCUGGGGGUGAAAGGCCAAUCAAACCGGGAGAUAGCUGGUUCUCCCCGAAAGCUAUUUAGGUAGCGCCUCGUGAAUUCAUCUCCGGGGGUAGAGCACUGUUUCGGCAAGGGGGUCAUCCCGACUUACCAACCCGAUGCAAACUGCGAAUACCGGAGAAUGUUAUCACGGGAGACACACGGCGGGUGCUAACGUCCGUCGUGAAGAGGGAAACAACCCAGACCGCCAGCUAAGGUCCCAAAGUCAUGGUUAAGUGGGAAACGAUGUGGGAAGGCCCAGACAGCCAGGAUGUUGGCUUAGAAGCAGCCAUCAUUUAAAGAAAGCGUAAUAGCUCACUGGUCGAGUCGGCCUGCGCGGAAGAUGUAACGGGGCUAAACCAUGCACCGAAGCUGCGGCAGCGACGCUUAUGCGUUGUUGGGUAGGGGAGCGUUCUGUAAGCCUGCGAAGGUGUGCUGUGAGGCAUGCUGGAGGUAUCAGAAGUGCGAAUGCUGACAUAAGUAACGAUAAAGCGGGUGAAAAGCCCGCUCGCCGGAAGACCAAGGGUUCCUGUCCAACGUUAAUCGGGGCAGGGUGAGUCGACCCCUAAGGCGAGGCCGAAAGGCGUAGUCGAUGGGAAACAGGUUAAUAUUCCUGUACUUGGUGUUACUGCGAAGGGGGGACGGAGAAGGCUAUGUUGGCCGGGCGACGGUUGUCCCGGUUUAAGCGUGUAGGCUGGUUUUCCAGGCAAAUCCGGAAAAUCAAGGCUGAGGCGUGAUGACGAGGCACUACGGUGCUGAAGCAACAAAUGCCCUGCUUCCAGGAAAAGCCUCUAAGCAUCAGGUAACAUCAAAUCGUACCCCAAACCGACACAGGUGGUCAGGUAGAGAAUACCAAGGCGCUUGAGAGAACUCGGGUGAAGGAACUAGGCAAAAUGGUGCCGUAACUUCGGGAGAAGGCACGCUGAUAUGUAGGUGAAGUCCCUUGCGGAUGGAGCUGAAAUCAGUCGAAGAUACCAGCUGGCUGCAACUGUUUAUUAAAAACACAGCACUGUGCAAACACGAAAGUGGACGUAUACGGUGUGACGCCUGCCCGGUGCCGGAAGGUUAAUUGAUGGGGUCAGCGCAAGCGAAGCUCUUGAUCGAAGCCCCGGUAAACGGCGGCCGUAACUAUAACGGUCCUAAGGUAGCGAAAUUCCUUGUCGGGUAAGUUCCGACCUGCACGAAUGGCGUAAUGAUGGCCAGGCUGUCUCCACCCGAGACUCAGUGAAAUUGAACUCGCUGUGAAGAUGCAGUGUACCCGCGGCAAGACGGAAAGACCCCGUGAACCUUUACUAUAGCUUGACACUGAACAUUGAGCCUUGAUGUGUAGGAUAGGUGGGAGGCUUUGAAGUGUGGACGCCAGUCUGCAUGGAGCCGGCCUUGAAAUACCACCCUUUAAUGUUUGAUGUUCUAACGUGGACCCGUGAUCCGGGUUGCGGACAGUGUCUGGUGGGUAGUUUGACUGGGGCGGUCUCCUCCUAAAGAGUAACGGAGGAGCACGAAGGUUGGCUAAUCCUGGUCGGACAUCAGGAGGUUAGUGCAAUGGCAUAAGCCAGCUUGACUGCGAGCGUGACGGCGCGAGCAGGUGCGAAAGCAGGUCAUAGUGAUCCGGUGGUUCUGAAUGGAAGGGCCAUCGCUCAACGGAUAAAAGGUACUCCGGGGAUAACAGGCUGAUACCGCCCAAGAGUUCAUAUCGACGGCGGUGUUUGGCACCUCGAUGUCGGCUCAUCACAUCCUGGGGCUGAAGUAGGUCCCAAGGGUAUGGCUGUUCGCCAUUUAAAGUGGUACGCGAGCUGGGUUUAGAACGUCGUGAGACAGUUCGGUCCCUAUCUGCCGUGGGCGCUGGAGAACUGAGGGGGGCUGCUCCUAGUACGAGAGGACCGGAGUGGACGCAUCACUGGUGUUCGGGUUGUCAUGCCAAUGGCACUGCCCGGUAGCUAAAUGCGGAAGAGAUAAGUGCUGAAAGCAUCUAAGCACGAAACUUGCCCCGAGAUGAGUUCUCCCUGACCCUUUAAGGGUCCUGAAGGAACGUUGAAGACGACGACGUUGAUAGGCCGGGUGUGUAAGCGCAGCGAUGCGUUGAGCUAACCGGUACUAAUGAACCGUGAGGCUUAACC
This 2536-nucleotide ribosomal RNA is filed under the name Shigella sonnei. RNAcentral describes it as "bacterial LSU rRNA". It matches the Rfam family "Bacterial large subunit ribosomal RNA", at positions 407 to 2925 of the family's 2925-position model. The record is from RNAcentral. Lineage: Bacteria; Pseudomonadati; Pseudomonadota; Gammaproteobacteria; Enterobacterales; Enterobacteriaceae.